UCCUGAUGAACACAAUCAUUCACGUUAAAAUACUCUUUUCUAUGGAUGUGGUACUAGACACAGUUUUAGAAGGCAGCUCGUUGAACCCUCCGUGCUUGCAUAUAGCAAGUGCUCACUAAACAUCUACAGAGUAAUUGAACGAAUGGAUGAAUGAAGAGGUGUCUCUGUGUCUCAGCACGUCUUUGCUCAGAUGAACUUCGCUGCUGACGGGGCCGGCUGUGGCGUGUUGACACUGGAGCAGGCCCCAGAGACAGGAAAACCUCCGAAAUACUUCACAAUGUGAUGGAAAGCCUGCUCCAGAAGACGUUAAGGACCCUCCUCACAGGGAGACUUCAAAUGCGUGAUUCUUAUAACAAGACCAGAGCCCGAAGAUUUCCUGAAGUGGGAGAAAGAAAAGCGCUCCCUGCCUGCUUGGAAUUGCUGUGUGCACGAUGCCCUGCAGAGAGAGAGAAGAGAGCAGGCUGGAUGCCUUCCAAAAACCAGAAGGGAAGCUGAUUCCUACUUGGGAGGGUGUUAAAAUCUGAAGAGCAAGGCCGACAGACCGAGGGGAGAAAGUGGAGGAGAGAGGUAGACGUGUGAGCAUCUUUUCCAAUUUUUGCUGUUUUCUUACAGCCAAAUGCCUGGAAAUCUGCAGCAUCCAGCAAUUCCCUGG
Zalophus californianus (California sea lion) is the source of this 652-nucleotide long non-coding RNA. RefSeq lists it as uncharacterized. The record is from RefSeq and is a predicted model, not a curated record. The transcript has 3 exons. Lineage: Eukaryota; Metazoa; Chordata; Mammalia; Carnivora; Otariidae.